Molecule: ribosomal RNA, 253 nt
Filed under: uncultured bacterium
Lineage: Bacteria
Description: partial 16S ribosomal RNA
Rfam family: Bacterial small subunit ribosomal RNA
Source: RNAcentral
UACGUAGGGUGCAAGCGUUAUUCGGAAUUAUUGGGCGUAAAGAGCUCGUAGGCGGUUUGUCGCGUCUGCUGUGAAAACUGGAGGCUCAACCUCCAGCCUGCAGUGGGUACGGGCAGACUAGAGUGCGGUAGGGGAGAUUGGAAUUCCAGGUGUAGCGGUGAAAUGCGUAGAUAUCUGGAGGAAUACCGGUGGCGAAGGCGGCAUCCUGGACCAUUACUGACGCUGAGGCGCGAAAGCUAGGGGAGCAAACGGG